GCCAGGCAUGGUAGCGCAUGCCUGUAAUCCCAGCUACUUGGGAGGCUGAGGUAGGAGAAUCACUUGAACCUGGGAGGCGGAGGGUGCAGUGAGCUGAGAUCACACCACUGCACUCCAGCCUGGGCAACAGAGUGAGACUCCAUCUCAA
Molecule: non-coding RNA, 148 nt
Organism: Gorilla gorilla gorilla (western lowland gorilla)
Lineage: Eukaryota; Metazoa; Chordata; Mammalia; Primates; Hominidae
Rfam family: Metazoan signal recognition particle RNA
About the family: The signal recognition particle (SRP) is a universally conserved ribonucleoprotein. It is involved in the co-translational targeting of proteins to membranes.
Source: Rfam